UGAGGAAUAUUGGUCAAUGGACGAAAGUCUGAACCAGCCAUGCCGCGUGAAGGAAUAAGGCCCUAUGGGUCGUAAACUUCUUUUGUAUGUGAGCAAUAAGGUCCACGUGUGGUCCGAUGAGAGUAGCAUACGAAUAAGCAUCGGCUAACUCCGUGCCAGCAGCCGCGGUAAUACGGAGGAUGCAAGCGUUAUCCGGAUUCAUUGGGUUUAAAGGGUGCGUAGGCGGCUUGGUAAGUCAGCGGUGAAAUUCCAGUGCUCAACAUUGGCCGUGCCGUUGAUACUGCUGGGCUUGAAUGCGGAUGCCGUGGGAGGAAUGUGUGGUGUAGCGGUGAAAUGCAUAGAUAUCACACAGAACACCGAUUGCGAAGGCAUCUCACGAAUCCGCAAUUGACGCUGAGGCACGAAAGUGUGGGGAUCAAACAGG
This 424-nucleotide ribosomal RNA is filed under the name uncultured Bacteroidota bacterium. RNAcentral's name for it is "bacterial SSU rRNA". It matches the Rfam family "Bacterial small subunit ribosomal RNA", at positions 355 to 776 of the family's 1533-position model. Lineage: Bacteria; Pseudomonadati; Bacteroidota. The record is from RNAcentral. RNAcentral also lists the same sequence under 1 other name.